Molecule: unclassified non-coding RNA, 335 nt
Filed under: soil metagenome
Description: partial contains 5.8S ribosomal RNA, internal transcribed spacer 2, and large subunit ribosomal RNA
Rfam family: 5.8S ribosomal RNA (bases 1-120)
Source: RNAcentral
GAUGAAGAACGUAGCGAAAUGCGAUAAGUAAUGUGAAUUGCAGAAUUCAGUGAAUCAUCGAAUCUUUGAACGCACAUUGCGCCCGCCAGUAUUCUGGCGGGCAUGCCUGUCCGAGCGUCAUUUCAACCAUCAAGCCCCCGGCUUGUGUUGGGGACCUGCGGCUGCCGCAGGCCCUGAAAACCAGUGGCGGGCUCGCUAGUCACUCCGAGCGUAGUAAUACAUCUCGCUCAGGGCGUGCUGCGGGUUCCGGCCGUUAAAAAGCCUUAUUUACCCAAGGUUGACCUCGGAUCAGGUAGGAAGACCCGCUGAACUUAAGCAUAUCAAUAAGCGGAGGA